UUAGGAAUUUUGCGCAAUGGACGAAAGUCUGACGCAGCGACAUCGCGUGAAGGAUGAAGGCUCUAGGGUCGUAAACUUCUUUUAUUUUCUCAUGAAGAGAUUUUGAAUCAGGAACUACUAACUACGUGCCAGCAGUCGCGGUAAUACGUAGGUUCCAAGCGUUACCCGGUUUUAUUGGGCGUAAAGCGUCUGUAGGUGGUUUUCUAAGUCUUAUUUCAAAGACCCCGGCUCAACCGGGGGCAGGGGUAGGAUACUGGAAGACUAGAGUGAUAUCGGGGUUACUGGAAUUUUUAGUGUAGGGGUAAAAUCCGUGGAUACUAAAAAGAACACCAAGCGCGAAGGCGGGUAACCAGGUAUAUACUGACACUCAGAGACGAAAGCUAGGGUAGCCAAUCAGAUU
RNAcentral lists this ribosomal RNA (400 nucleotides) under uncultured bacterium. RNAcentral's name for it is "bacterial SSU rRNA". It matches the Rfam family "Bacterial small subunit ribosomal RNA", at positions 355 to 779 of the family's 1533-position model. The record is from RNAcentral.